Octopus sinensis (East Asian common octopus) is the source of this 269-nucleotide long non-coding RNA. RefSeq lists it as uncharacterized. Lineage: Eukaryota; Metazoa; Mollusca; Cephalopoda; Octopoda; Octopodidae. The transcript is spliced from 3 exons. The record is from RefSeq and is a predicted model, not a curated record.
AUCUCGAGACACGUCAAGGAGAUUUUCUCGACAUCAACAAAAGCGUGCUACAACACGUCUGAUGGAUUCCCAAGAGAGAAGGGAGAUGAGCCUUUCUCAAGAUCACCAAAGGCAUUCUGCAGCACGUCAAAUGGAGUUUCAAUAAAGAAGGGAGAGGAGACUUUCCCGCGAUCAGAAAAGGCAUUCUGCAGCACGUCAAAUGGAGUCUCAAGAGAGAAGGGAGAGGAGACUUUCUCAAGAUCACCAAAGGCAUUCUGCAGCACGUCAAA